Molecule: ribosomal RNA, 1542 nt
Filed under: Salmonella enterica
Lineage: Bacteria; Pseudomonadati; Pseudomonadota; Gammaproteobacteria; Enterobacterales; Enterobacteriaceae
Also listed under: 4 other names
Description: bacterial SSU rRNA
Rfam family: Bacterial small subunit ribosomal RNA
Source: RNAcentral
AAAUUGAAGAGUUUGAUCAUGGCUCAGAUUGAACGCUGGCGGCAGGCCUAACACAUGCAAGUCGAACGGUAACAGGAAGCAGCUUGCUGCUUUGCUGACGAGUGGCGGACGGGUGAGUAAUGUCUGGGAAACUGCCUGAUGGAGGGGGAUAACUACUGGAAACGGUGGCUAAUACCGCAUAACGUCGCAAGACCAAAGAGGGGGACCUUCGGGCCUCUUGCCAUCAGAUGUGCCCAGAUGGGAUUAGCUUGUUGGUGAGGUAACGGCUCACCAAGGCGACGAUCCCUAGCUGGUCUGAGAGGAUGACCAGCCACACUGGAACUGAGACACGGUCCAGACUCCUACGGGAGGCAGCAGUGGGGAAUAUUGCACAAUGGGCGCAAGCCUGAUGCAGCCAUGCCGCGUGUAUGAAGAAGGCCUUCGGGUUGUAAAGUACUUUCAGCGGGGAGGAAGGUGUUGUGGUUAAUAACCGCAGCAAUUGACGUUACCCGCAGAAGAAGCACCGGCUAACUCCGUGCCAGCAGCCGCGGUAAUACGGAGGGUGCAAGCGUUAAUCGGAAUUACUGGGCGUAAAGCGCACGCAGGCGGUCUGUCAAGUCGGAUGUGAAAUCCCCGGGCUCAACCUGGGAACUGCAUUCGAAACUGGCAGGCUUGAGUCUUGUAGAGGGGGGUAGAAUUCCAGGUGUAGCGGUGAAAUGCGUAGAGAUCUGGAGGAAUACCGGUGGCGAAGGCGGCCCCCUGGACAAAGACUGACGCUCAGGUGCGAAAGCGUGGGGAGCAAACAGGAUUAGAUACCCUGGUAGUCCACGCCGUAAACGAUGUCUACUUGGAGGUUGUGCCCUUGAGGCGUGGCUUCCGGAGCUAACGCGUUAAGUAGACCGCCUGGGGAGUACGGCCGCAAGGUUAAAACUCAAAUGAAUUGACGGGGGCCCGCACAAGCGGUGGAGCAUGUGGUUUAAUUCGAUGCAACGCGAAGAACCUUACCUGGUCUUGACAUCCACGGAACUUUCCAGAGAUGGAUUGGUGCCUUCGGGAACCGUGAGACAGGUGCUGCAUGGCUGUCGUCAGCUCGUGUUGUGAAAUGUUGGGUUAAGUCCCGCAACGAGCGCAACCCUUAUCCUUUGUUGCCAGCGGUCCGGCCGGGAACUCAAAGGAGACUGCCAGUGAUAAACUGGAGGAAGGUGGGGAUGACGUCAAGUCAUCAUGGCCCUUACGACCAGGGCUACACACGUGCUACAAUGGCGCAUACAAAGAGAAGCGACCUCGCGAGAGCAAGCGGACCUCAUAAAGUGCGUCGUAGUCCGGAUUGGAGUCUGCAACUCGACUCCAUGAAGUCGGAAUCGCUAGUAAUCGUGGAUCAGAAUGCCACGGUGAAUACGUUCCCGGGCCUUGUACACACCGCCCGUCACACCAUGGGAGUGGGUUGCAAAAGAAGUAGGUAGCUUAACCUUCGGGAGGGCGCUUACCACUUUGUGAUUCAUGACUGGGGUGAAGUCGUAACAAGGUAACCGUAGGGGAACCUGCGGUUGGAUCACCUCCUUA